UACACACGGAUAACAUACCGAAAGGUAUGCUAAUACGGGAUAAUAUAUUUGAGAGGCAUCUCUUAAAUAUCAAAGGUGAGCCAGUACAGGAUGGACCCGCGUCUGAUUAGCUAGUUGGUAAGGUAACGGCUUACCAAGGCGACGAUCAGUAGCCGACCUGAGAGGGUGAUCGGCCACAUUGGAACUGAGACACGGUCCAAACUCCUACGGGAGGCAGCAGUGGGGAAUAUUGCACAAUGGGCGAAAGCCUGAUGCAGCAACGCCGCGUGAGUGAUGAAGGCCUUCGGGUCGUAAAACUCUGUCCUCAAGGAAGAUAAUGACGGUACUUGAGGAGGAAGCCCCGGCUAACUACGUGCCAGCAGCCGCGGUAAUACGUAGGGGGCUAGCGUUAUCCGGAUUUACUGGGCGUAAAGGGUGCGUAGGCGAUCUUUCAAGUCAGGAGUGAAAGGCUACGGCUCAACCGUAGUAAGCUCUUGAAACUGGGAGACUUGAGUGCAGGAGAGGAGAGUGGAAUUCCUAGUGUAGCGGUGAAAUGCGUAGAUAUUAGGAGGAACACCAGUUGCGAAGGCGGCCCUCUGGACUGUAACUGACGCUGAGGCACGAAAGCGUGGGGAGCAAACAGGAUUAGAUACCCUGGUAGUCCACGCUGUAAACGAUGAGUACUAGGUGUCGGGGGUUACCCCCUUCGGUGCCGCAG
RNAcentral lists this ribosomal RNA (697 nucleotides) under uncultured bacterium. Its description in RNAcentral is "bacterial SSU rRNA". It matches the Rfam family "Bacterial small subunit ribosomal RNA", at positions 134 to 851 of the family's 1533-position model. The record is from RNAcentral.